CCUACGGGAGGCAGCAGUGAGGAAUAUUGGUCAAUGGACGAGAGUCUGAACCAGCCAAGUAGCGUGAAGGAUGACUGCCCUAUGGGUUGUAAACUUCUUUUAUAAGGGAAUAAAACGAGGCACGUGUGCCUUUUUGCAUGUACCUUAUGAAUAAGCAUCGGCUAACUCCGUGCCAGCAGCCGCGGUAAUACGGAGGAUGCGAGCGUUAUCCGGAUUUAUUGGGUUUAAAGGGUGCGUAGAUGGGUUGUUAAGUCAGGUGUGAAAGUUUGAGGCUCAACCUUAAAAUUGCAAUUGAUACUGGCAGUCUUGAGUACAGUUGAGGUAAGCGGAAUGCGUGGUGUAGCGGUGAAAUGCUUAGAUAUCACGAAGAACCCCGAGUGCGAAGGCAGCUUACUAAACUGUGACUGACAUUGAUGCUCGAAAGUGUGGGUAUCAAACAGGAUUAGAUACCCCAGUAGUC
Molecule: ribosomal RNA, 460 nt
Filed under: uncultured bacterium
Lineage: Bacteria
Description: partial 16S ribosomal RNA
Rfam family: Bacterial small subunit ribosomal RNA
Source: RNAcentral